UUAAUGUAUAGGUAACAUGCCCCUUAGUAUGGGAUAACAGUUGGAAACGACUGCUAAUACCAUAUAUUCCUAUGUAAUAUAAGUUAUAUAGGGAAAGAUUUAUUGCUAAGGGAUUGGCUUGUAUUGUAUCAGUUAGUUGGUGAGGUAAUGGCUCACCAAGACUAUGACACAUAGCUGGUCUGAGAGGAUGAUCAGCCACACUGGAACUGAGACACGGUCCAGACUCCUACGGGAGGCAGCAGUGGGGAAUAUUGCACAAUGGACGAAAGUCUGAUGCAGCAACGCCGCGUGGAGGAUGACGCAUUUCGGUGUGUAAACUCCUUUUAUAUGAGAAGAAAUUUGACGGUAUCAUAUGAAUAAGCACCGGCUAACUCCGUGCCAGCAGCCGCGGUAAUACGGAGUGUGCAAGCGUUACUCGGAAUCACUGGGCGUAAAGCGUGCGUAGGCGGUUUGAUAAGUCUGGGGUGAAAUCCUACAGCUCAACUGUAGAACUGCUCUUGAAACUGUCAGACUAGAAUUAGGGAGAGGUAGAUGGAAUUAGUGGUGUAGGGGUAAAAUCCGUAGAGAUCACUAGGAAUACCAAUUGCGAAGGCGAUCUACUGGAACUAUAUUGACGCUAAGGCACGAAAGCGUGGGGAGCAAACAGGAUUAGAUACCCUGGUAGUCCACGCCGUAAACGAUGAAUGUUAAUUGUUGGUAUGCUAGACAUAUCAGUAAUGCACCUAACGGAUUAAACAUUCCGCCUGGGGAGUACGGUCGCAAGAUUAAAACUCAAAGGAAUAGACGGGGACCCGCACAAGCGGUGGAGGAUGUGGUUUAAUUCGAAAAUACGCGAAGAACCUUACCUGGCCUUGACAUAGUAAGAAUCCUUAAGAGAUUAGGGAGUGCUGCUUGCAGAGCUUACAUACAGGUGCUGCACGGCUGUCGUCAGCUCGUGUCGUGAGAUGUUGGGUUAAGUCCCGCAACGAGCGCAACCCUUAUCUUUAGUUGCUAACACAUUAUGGUGAGAACUCUAAAGAGACUGCCCACGCAAGUGGGAGGAAGGUGAGGACGACGUCAAGUCAUCAUGGCCCUUACGGCCAGGGCUACACACGUGCUACAAUGGCUAGGACAAUGAGACGCAAUACAGUGAUGUGGAGCAAAUCUAUAAACCUAGUCCCAGUUCGGAUAGCAGUCUGCAACUCGACUGCUUGAAGUUGGAAUCGCUAGUAAUCGUAGAUCAGCAAUGCUACGGUGAAUACGUUCCCGGGUCUUGUACUCACCGCCCGUCACACCAUGGGAGUUGAAUUCACCCGAAGCGGGGAUGCUAAAUUAGCUACCCUCCACGGUGGGUUCAGCGACUGGGGUGAAGUCGUAACAAGGUA
RNAcentral lists this ribosomal RNA (1364 nucleotides) under metagenome. RNAcentral describes it as "bacterial SSU rRNA". It matches the Rfam family "Bacterial small subunit ribosomal RNA". The record is from RNAcentral.